Molecule: ribosomal RNA, 781 nt
Filed under: Alkalibacter sp. enrichment culture
Lineage: Bacteria; Bacillati; Bacillota; Clostridia; Eubacteriales; Eubacteriaceae
Description: bacterial SSU rRNA
Rfam family: Bacterial small subunit ribosomal RNA
Source: RNAcentral
AGAGUUUGAUUAUGGCUCAGGACGAACGCUGGCGGCGUGCCUAACACAUGCAAGUCGAACGUGAUCUUCGGAGUAGUUUACUACACCGGAGUGAAAGUGGCGGACGGGUGAGUAACGCGUGGGUAACCUGGCCUAUGGAAGGGGAUAGCCUCGGGAAACCGGGAUUAAUACCGUAUGUAGUUGAGAUAUCGCAUGAUAUUUCAAUGAAAGAUUUAUCGCCAUAGGAUGGACCCGCGUCCCAUUAGCUAGUUGGUGAGAUAACAGCUCACCAAGGCGACGAUGGGUAGCCGGCCUGAGAGGGCGGACGGCCACACUGGGACUGAGACACGGCCCAGACUCCUACGGGAGGCAGCAGUGGGGAAUAUUGCGCAAUGGGGGCAACCCUGACGCAGCAACGCCGCGUGAAUGAAGAAGGUCUUCGGAUCGUAAAGUUCUGUCGAAGGGGAAGAAAUAAAUGACGGUACCCUUAGAGGAAGCCCCGGCUAACUACGUGCCAGCAGCCGCGGUAAUACGUAGGGGGCAAGCGUUGUCCGGAUUUACUGGGCGUAAAGGGCGUGUAGGCGGUUUUUUAAGUCAGAUGUGAAAGUUCGGGGCUCAACCCCGGAAUUGCAUUUGAAACUGGAGAACUUGAGUACUGGAGAGGUAAGUGGAAUUCCUAGUGUAGCGGUGAAAUGCGUAGAUAUUAGGAGGAACACCAGUGGCGAAGGCGACUUACUGGACAGAUACUGACGCUGAGGCGCGAAAGCGUGGGGAGCGAACAGGAUUAGAUACCCUGGUAGUC